Cinara cedri is the source of this 792-nucleotide non-coding RNA. The record is from the annotation of a GenBank genome assembly. Lineage: Eukaryota; Metazoa; Arthropoda; Insecta; Hemiptera; Aphididae.
CGCUCGCAAACUACUAUUUUACAAGGCUCUUAUAUAGUACAUUUGCAAAUUCGCAAAUUUUUCAAGUAUAAUUAUUUUGCUACCCACUUUUGUGCAUGUUUACCAACUAUUUUGCGGGUCAAAUUUAACUUAAUGGUUCUUUUAAGUAAUUUUUUCACAGUCGAAUUGGAGCUUGUAAAAUAAUAAACAACGAAAAAACUAACAUAAUAUUUUAAUGUAAAAUCCAUUACCGAAUAUAAGAAUAAAUCGAAUUAUAUCUAUAUCAAUAAGUCCCAAUCAAUCUUGAUUAUUUGUUGCACAUUUUUCACUUGUAUUUAUUGACUAAAUUUCAUAUAAUAAGUAACUAUACUGAAUGUAGAUUACUUAAUUUAGAAACCGCAUGCAUGCAUGUUAUAAUACACUUUGUUUAUACGUCACUGCUAUAUAAAUUACGUUUACGAAUAUAAUAAGUAUAAUAUUAUGCACUGUUUACGAAAUAAAAAAACUCAUAAGCAUCAGAAAUUCGUCACCAGAGUUUCCCCCAGUUGACUAAUUGCCGUUACAAUAUUUAACGAUUUUUUUUUUUUUUUUUUUUGUUUCAUAACGAAUUUAACAUAACUUGUUUUAUCAAAAUAAAUUGAAUAGUUCUCGUAAUUUGUGCCAACAUACAAAUAGACAGUGAGGUCGGGAGUUAGAAAUCCAAACGUUCUAAAGGCACAUCCUCGACAACGGUUUUAUUUUUUACAUAGAUAUGUUCAGGCACGUUUAAAUCCCCCCACCGAAAAUUAUUAGUUGUGUAAUUUUAUUUAUAUC